GGAUAGCGGCUCAGCGGUAGAGCGUUUACCUAGCACGUUCGAGGCCCUGGGUUCAAUCCUCAGCACCA
This 68-nucleotide transfer RNA is filed under the name Marmota monax (woodchuck). RNAcentral's name for it is "tRNA.Ala". The record is from RNAcentral. Lineage: Eukaryota; Metazoa; Chordata; Mammalia; Rodentia; Sciuridae.